Long non-coding RNA from Meleagris gallopavo (turkey), 509 nucleotides. RefSeq lists it as uncharacterized. The record is from RefSeq and is a predicted model, not a curated record. NCBI's taxonomy places the organism in Eukaryota, Metazoa, Chordata, Aves, Galliformes, Phasianidae.
AUGUGAUGAAACCUGACUGCUGGGAUGAGGGCUGUGAAGCAUAGUGCGUUUGUCUUUUUCAUUGCAGUGCCGUGAGGAGCGAGGGCUCCUUGGGACUGGAGCACAUCCCAUGCAGGUCCUGGCUUCUGGAGCACUUGUAGGGGUGCAGAUAUAUGGGUGAAUGAUGGAGUUAUAGAAAACCUCAAUUUGUAAGACCUCUUCAAGAAUCACCGAGUCUAGCUCCUGGAAGACAGACUGCCAUGCUCACCUGUUCUUGUGACUAUGUGCUGUUCACGUGACUAUGGUGCUCAGGAGACGUGUCGUCAAUUGUGUGGACCCACAUAAAACAUUUCAGGGAGCAGAAAGCUGAAGGCUUUCACAGAUGUGCAGAAGGAAGACAGUGUAAAUGCCAGUGAAUAAGAAGCUACUCCUCUCAUGUAAAUUCUGGACUCUUCCUCUGAAUCUUAUGUGGUGUCUGUAUGUAUAUUCACACACGCACAUGCAACACAUUCAUGCGUAAGUAUCCAAUC